Molecule: ribosomal RNA, 467 nt
Filed under: uncultured bacterium
Lineage: Bacteria
Description: partial 16S ribosomal RNA
Rfam family: Bacterial small subunit ribosomal RNA
Source: RNAcentral
ACGAACGCUUGCGGCGUGCUUAACACCUGCAAGUCGAACGGAAAGGCCCUGCUUUUGUGGGGUGCUCGAGUGGCGAACGGGUGAGUAACACGUGAGUAACCUGCCCUUUACUUUGGGAUAACUUCAGGAAACUGGGGCUAAUACCGGAUAGGAGCUCCUGCUGCAUGGUGGGGGUUGGAAAGUUUCGGCGGUUGGGGAUGGACUCGCGGCUUAUCAGCAUGUUGGUGGGGUAGUGGCUUACCAAGGCUUUGACGGGUAGCCGGCCUGAGAGGGUGACCGGCCACAUUGGGACUGAGAUACGGCCCAGACGCCUACGGGAGGCAGCAGUGGGGAAUAUUGCACAAUGGGCGGAAGCCUGAUGCAGAAACGCCGCGUGCGGGAUAACGGCCUUCGGGUUGUAAACCGCUUUCGCCUGUGACGAAGCGUGAGUGACGGUAAUGGGUAAAGAAGCAACGGCUAACUACGUG